This 31-nucleotide non-coding RNA is filed under the name Rattus norvegicus (Norway rat). Lineage: Eukaryota; Metazoa; Chordata; Mammalia; Rodentia; Muridae. The record is from RNAcentral.
UGGGCUCUGAACGGUGAAUACUUGCUUGAGU